This 72-nucleotide transfer RNA is filed under the name Ovis aries (sheep). It matches the Rfam family "tRNA". From Rfam's summary of the family: Transfer RNA (tRNA) molecules are approximately 80 nucleotides in length. Their secondary structure includes four short double-helical elements and three loops (D, anti-codon, and T loops). The record is from Rfam by way of RNAcentral. Lineage: Eukaryota; Metazoa; Chordata; Mammalia; Artiodactyla; Bovidae.
UCCUUGGUGGCUCAGAUGGUAAAGAAUCUGCCUGCAAUGCAGAAGACCUAGGUUUGAUCCCUGGGUUGGGAA